AUGUUGGUGGUUCAGUGGUAGAUUCUUGCCUCCCAUGCGAGUCUCCCAGGUUUGAUUCCCAGCCAACAUA
This 70-nucleotide transfer RNA is filed under the name Loxodonta africana (African savanna elephant). It matches the Rfam family "tRNA". From Rfam's summary of the family: Transfer RNA (tRNA) molecules are approximately 80 nucleotides in length. Lineage: Eukaryota; Metazoa; Chordata; Mammalia; Proboscidea; Elephantidae. The record is from Rfam by way of RNAcentral.